Molecule: ribosomal RNA, 269 nt
Filed under: uncultured prokaryote
Description: partial 16S ribosomal RNA
Rfam family: Bacterial small subunit ribosomal RNA
Source: RNAcentral
UACGAAGGUGGCAAGCGUUGUUCGGUAUCACUGGGCUUAAAGGGUGCGCAGGCGGGAAAGUAAGCGUUUUGUGAAAUCCCCCGACUUAAUCGGGGAAUUGCUUGGCGAACUGCUUUUCUUGAGGCAAGUAGGGGUGCAUGGAACUCUUGGUGGAGCGGUGGAAUGCGUAGAUAUCAAGAGGAACGCCGGAGGUGAAGACGGUGCACUGGGCUUGUCCUGACGCUGAGGCACGAAAGCGUGGGGAGCAAACAGGAUUAGAUACCCUAGUA